AGUUCACUGACGAGUUUGAUCAUGGCUCAGAUUGAACGCUGGCGGCAUGGCUAAAACAUGCAAGUCGAACGAUCCCUUCGGGGAGAGUGGCGAAAGGGCGAGGAAUAGAAUCGAAUGUACCCCAAGGUGGGGGAUAGCCUCUGGAAACGGAGGGUAAUACCCCAUGUGCUCUACGGAGGAAAGGUUUACCGCCUUGGGAGCAGCGAUUCUCCUAUCAGGUAGUUGGUGAGGUAACGGCUCACCAAGCCGAAGACGGGUAGCGGGUGUGAGAGCAUGACCCGCCGCAUCGGGACUGAGACACUGCCCGGACUCCUACGGGAGGCUGCAGUAACGAAUCUUCCGCAAUGGGCGAAAGCCUGACGGAGCAAUGCCGCGUGUGGGAUGAAGCAUCUUCGAUGUGUAAACCACUGUCAGGGUCUAGGAAUACUGACCAGACCCAAAGGAAGGGCCGGCUAAUUCCGUG
RNAcentral lists this ribosomal RNA (463 nucleotides) under uncultured bacterium. Its description in RNAcentral is "bacterial SSU rRNA". It matches the Rfam family "Bacterial small subunit ribosomal RNA", at positions 1 to 507 of the family's 1533-position model. The record is from RNAcentral.